Molecule: ribosomal RNA, 514 nt
Filed under: uncultured bacterium
Lineage: Bacteria
Description: partial 16S ribosomal RNA
Rfam family: Bacterial small subunit ribosomal RNA
Source: RNAcentral
GAUGAACGCUGGCGGCGUGCCUAAUACAUGCAGGUCGAGCGAAUGGAUUAAGAGCUUGCUCUUAUGAAGUUAGCGGCGGACGGGUGAGUAACACGUGGGUAACCUGCCCAUAAGACUGGGAUAACUCCGGGAAACCGGGGCUAAUACCGGAUAACAUUUUGAACCGCAUGGUUCGAAAUUGGAAGGCGGCUUCGGCUGUCACUUAUGGAUGGACCCGCGUCGCAUUAGCUAGUUGGUGAGGUAACGGCUCACCAAGGCAACGAUGCGUAGCCGACAUGAGAGGGUGAUCGGCCACACUGGGACAGAGACACGGCCCAGACUCCUACGGGAGGCAGCAGUAGGGAAUCUUCCGCAAUGGACGAAAGUCUGACGGAGCAACGCCGCGUGAGUGAAGAAGGGUUUCGGCUCGUAAAACUCUGUUGUUAAGGAAGAACGCCAGGUAGAGUAACUGCUACCUGUGUGACGGUACUUAACCAGAAAGCCACGGCUAACUACGUGCCAGCAGCCGCGGUAA